RNAcentral lists this ribosomal RNA (468 nucleotides) under uncultured bacterium. RNAcentral's name for it is "partial 16S ribosomal RNA". It matches the Rfam family "Bacterial small subunit ribosomal RNA", at positions 28 to 507 of the family's 1533-position model. The record is from RNAcentral.
GACGAACGCUGGCGGCGUGCUUAACACAUGCAAGUCGAACGGAAGGGCCCUGCUUUUGUGGGGUGCUCGAGUGGCGAACGGGUGAGUAACACGUGAGUAACCUGCCCUUGACUUUGGGAUAACUUCAGGAAACUGGGGCUAAUACCGGAUAGGAGCUCCUGCUGCAUGGUGGGGGUUGGAAAGUUUCGGCGGUUGGGGAUGGACUCGCGGCUUAUCAGCUUGUUGGUGGGGUAGUGGCUUACCAAGGCUUUGACGGGUAGCCGGCCUGAGAGGGUGACCGGCCACAUUGGGACUGAGAUACGGCCCAGACUCCUACGGGAGGCAGCAGUGGGGAAUAUUGCACAAUGGGCGGAAGCCUGAUGCAGCAACGCCGCGUGCGGGAUGACGGCCUUCGGGUUGUAACCCGCUUUCGCCUGUGACGAAGCGUGGGUGACGGUAAUGGGUAAAGAAGCACCGGCUAACUACGUG